GCUUAGAUGGUAAAGAAUCUGCCUGUAAUGCAGGAGACCCAGGUUCAAUUCCUGG
This 55-nucleotide transfer RNA is filed under the name Bos taurus (domestic cattle). It matches the Rfam family "tRNA", at positions 10 to 63 of the family's 71-position model. From Rfam's summary of the family: Transfer RNA (tRNA) molecules are approximately 80 nucleotides in length. Their secondary structure includes four short double-helical elements and three loops (D, anti-codon, and T loops). Further hydrogen bonds mediate the characteristic L-shaped molecular structure. tRNAs have two regions of fundamental functional importance: the anti-codon, which is responsible for specific mRNA codon recognition, and the 3' end, to which the tRNAs corresponding amino acid is attached (by aminoacyl-tRNA synthetases). tRNAs cope with the degeneracy of the genetic code in two manners: having more than one tRNA (with a specific anti-codon) for a particular amino acid; and 'wobble' base-pairing, i.e. permitting non-standard base-pairing at the 3rd anti-codon position. The record is from Rfam by way of RNAcentral. Lineage: Eukaryota; Metazoa; Chordata; Mammalia; Artiodactyla; Bovidae.